RNAcentral lists this ribosomal RNA (1467 nucleotides) under Lactiplantibacillus plantarum. RNAcentral's name for it is "bacterial SSU rRNA". It matches the Rfam family "Bacterial small subunit ribosomal RNA". Lineage: Bacteria; Bacillati; Bacillota; Bacilli; Lactobacillales; Lactobacillaceae. The record is from RNAcentral.
GGCGCAUGCGCGGGCUAUACUGCAGUCGACGAACUCUGGUAUUGAUUGGUGCUUGCAUCAUGAUUUACAUUUGAGUGAGUGGCGAACUGGUGAGUAACACGUGGGAAACCUGCCCAGAAGCGGGGGAUAACACCUGGAAACAGAUGCUAAUACCGCAUAACAACUUGGACCGCAUGGUCCGAGCUUGAAAGAUGGCUUCGGCUAUCACUUUUGGAUGGUCCCGCGGCGUAUUAGCUAGAUGGUGGGGUAACGGCUCACCAUGGCAAUGAUACGUAGCCGACCUGAGAGGGUAAUCGGCCACAUUGGGACUGAGACACGGCCCAAACUCCUACGGGAGGCAGCAGUAGGGAAUCUUCCACAAUGGACGAAAGUCUGAUGGAGCAACGCCGCGUGAGUGAAGAAGGGUUUCGGCUCGUAAAACUCUGUUGUUAAAGAAGAACAUAUCUGAGAGUAACUGUUCAGGUAUUGACGGUAUUUAACCAGAAAGCCACGGCUAACUACGUGCCAGCAGCCGCGGUAAUACGUAGGUGGCAAGCGUUGUCCGGAUUUAUUGGGCGUAAAGCGAGCGCAGGCGGUUUUUUAAGUCUGAUGUGAAAGCCUUCGGCUCAACCGAAGAAGUGCAUCGGAAACUGGGAAACUUGAGUGCAGAAGAGGACAGUGGAACUCCAUGUGUAGCGGUGAAAUGCGUAGAUAUAUGGAAGAACACCAGUGGCGAAGGCGGCUGUCUGGUCUGUAACUGACGCUGAGGCUCGAAAGUAUGGGUAGCAAACAGGAUUAGAUACCCUGGUAGUCCAUACCGUAAACGAUGAAUGCUAAGUGUUGGAGGGUUUCCGCCCUUCAGUGCUGCAGCUAACGCAUUAAGCAUUCCGCCUGGGGAGUACGGCCGCAAGGCUGAAACUCAAAGGAAUUGACGGGGGCCCGCACAAGCGGUGGAGCAUGUGGUUUAAUUCGAAGCUACGCGAAGAACCUUACCAGGUCUUGACAUACUAUGCAAAUCUAAGAGAUUAGACGUUCCCUUCGGGGACAUGGAUACAGGUGGUGCAUGGUUGUCGUCAGCUCGUGUCGUGAGAUGUUGGGUUAAGUCCCGCAACGAGCGCAACCCUUAUUAUCAGUUGCCAGCAUUAAGUUGGGCACUCUGGUGAGACUGCCGGUGACAAACCGGAGGAAGGUGGGGAUGACGUCAAAUCAUCAUGCCCCUUAUGACCUGGGCUACACACGUGCUACAAUGGAUGGUACAACGAGUUGCGAACUCGCGAGAGUAAGCUAAUCUCUUAAAGCCAUUCUCAGUUCGGAUUGUAGGCUGCAACUCGCCUACAUGAAGUCGGAAUCGCUAGUAAUCGCGGAUCAGCAUGCCGCGGUGAAUACGUUCCCGGGCCUUGUACACACCGCCCGUCACACCAUGAGAGUUUGUAACACCCAAAGUCGGUGGGGUAACCUUUUAGGAACCAGCCGCCUAAGGUGCAACAG